UGAAAAUAACACUUGAACUGUGCAGCCUCUCUUUCUAAUCUCUGACAGCCUAUAAAAAAAAUCAGACGUUAACAAUAGAGGAGCAGGUUUCAAGUUUUUAUAGCACACAAUUCCUUUACAGAUUUAAGAUGACAGAAGAAGAGAACAGCCUAAUUUAUUCUUCCUGGCUUGCGGCACAGAAUCAUGAAGGCUCUCGGUCAUAACUUCAGGGCUACACUAAAUUCCUGCCAGCCGGGAUCAGUUACAAAGGCCUCUGGAUCUUGGGAUAAUAGAAAUGAAGGUAUGGAAGGCUGAGACAGUUGACCUGCAUCAUCUUAGGAGAUUUUAUUAUCAUCUGAAUCUCAGAAUCAGAUUAUCUCAUCAGAAACUGCAAAUACAUCUUCAUUAUUCAUUACAAAGAGAAAAAUUUGAACCAGCAAUAUAUUCCAAGUACUUGACACAGAACACAAGAUUACAAGAUUUACCAUUAUUGAAGGACUGCUACAAAUUCAUGCUAGUUUCUGCCUUCCCUGAAAAGAAGAGUGGUGGACUUUGAUCCCAGGAGCAUAAGGAAGAAAGUGGGUGCCACUAUUCCAUAUCAAUCUUUCUACAAAAAAUAGCUGCAAUACAUUUCCUCCUGAAUUAUCUAAAGGCAAACACAGCACCUCCAAUGCCAAGUGUACUAGUUCCCUAGGAUUUCCAUGACAAAUUACCAUAAACUUGGAUGGCUUAAAACAACAGAAAUU
Molecule: long non-coding RNA, 725 nt
Filed under: Vulpes vulpes (red fox)
Lineage: Eukaryota; Metazoa; Chordata; Mammalia; Carnivora; Canidae
Description: lncRNA (ENSVVUG00000022157.1)
Source: RNAcentral